Molecule: ribosomal RNA, 548 nt
Filed under: Prevotella dentalis
Lineage: Bacteria; Pseudomonadati; Bacteroidota; Bacteroidia; Bacteroidales; Prevotellaceae
Description: bacterial SSU rRNA
Rfam family: Bacterial small subunit ribosomal RNA
Source: RNAcentral
AUGGGCGUAAGCCUGAACCAGCCAAGUAGCGUGCAGGAUGACGGCCCUAUGGGUUGUAAACUGCUUUUAUACGGGGAUAAAGUGCGCCACGUGUGGUGUUUUGCAGGUACCGUAUGAAUAAGGACCGGCUAAUUCCGUGCCAGCAGCCGCGGUAAUACGGAAGGUCCGGGGCGUUAUCCGGAUUUAUUGGGUUUAAAGGGAGCGUAGGCCGCAUGUCAAGCGUGUUGUGAAAUGCAGGUGCUCAACUCCUGGAUUGCAGCGCGAACUGUCGUGCUUGAGUGUGCGCAACGUUGGCGGAAUUCGUCGUGUAGCGGUGAAAUGCUUAGAUAUGACGAGGAACCCCGAUUGCGAAGGCAGCUGACGGGAGCAUAACUGACGCUGAAGCUCGAAGGUGCGGGUAUCGAACAGGAUUAGAUACCCUGGUAGUCCGCACGGUAAACGAUGGAUGCCCGCCGUCCGCCCUUUUAUUGGGCGUGUGGCCAAGCGAAAGCAUUAAGCAUCCCACCUGGGGAGUACGCCGGCAACGGUGAAACUCAAGGAAUUGACUG